Molecule: ribosomal RNA, 496 nt
Filed under: uncultured bacterium
Lineage: Bacteria
Description: partial 16S ribosomal RNA
Rfam family: Bacterial small subunit ribosomal RNA
Source: RNAcentral
GAUGAACGCUGGCGGCGUGCCUAAUACAUGCAAGUCGAGCGAACAGACGAGGAGCUUGCUCCUUUGACGUUAGCGGCGGACGGGUGAGUAACACGUGGAUAACCUACCUAUAAGACUGGGAUAACUUCGGGAAACCGGAGCUAAUACCGGAUAACAUGUUGAACCGCAUGGUUCAACAGUGAAAGACGGUCUUGCUGUCACUUAUAGAUGGAUCCGCGCCGCAUUAGCUAGUUGGUAAGGUAACGGCUUACCAAGGCAACGAUGCGUAGCCGACCUGAGAGGGGGAUCGGCCACACUGGAACUGAGACACGGUCCAGACUCCUACGGGAGGCAGCAGUAGGGAAUCUUCCGCAAUGGGCGAAAGCCUGACGGAGCAACGCCGCGUGAGUGAAGAAGGUCUUCGGAUCGUAAAACGCUGUUAUUAGGGAAGAACAAAUGUGUAAGUAACUAUGCACGUCUUGACGGUACCGAAUCAGAAAGCCACGGCUAACUACGU